UCCUGUGAAACAAAGGGUGUCUCUGUGGGAACCAGCUGCUCUGAAGCUUUUGUUGCCGCAAACAAUUCUUCACUGACACCAGCUAUUAAAAUGUCUCAUCGCACUCCUGAGUUCUGAAGGGGCUCUUGGUGUUUAGAUUUUAAUAAUUGUUAGUAACAGGCCUACUUUGUAUAAUUGUUCAAAUUAGGACAUUUCUUACUUCAACAGACAGCAAACAUCAAAUAAAAAUUUAUAUCUUCUGACCGUUUUAACACUUUAUUAUAAUUAGAGUAGUGAGUGUGGUGAGCAGAUGUGCAGACAUCAGUGUGCACUCAUCGCACUUUGAAGCUGUUUUGACAGCAACAUUGUGUUAACAAAGACUACAGUCUGCAGUGUAGAGCACACUUUACUCUGGUAAAUGAAGUUACAAUAGAACAGGUGAACUGUUUCAUCUUUCUCCUCUGUGCGUAAUGACACACUCGCUCAAUCUCGCUCGUCCGUCCGCUAUGAGCUAUUUCUCCCUUUAAGGUUGUUCUGUUUUGUAGUUAUUAAAAGAAUAAUCAUCUAAAAUUCCAAAAUAUAGGAAAACAUC
Molecule: non-coding RNA, 571 nt
Organism: Labrus bergylta (ballan wrasse)
Lineage: Eukaryota; Metazoa; Chordata; Actinopteri; Labriformes; Labridae
Source: RefSeq, a predicted model, not a curated record